GAUGAACGCUGGCGGCGUGCCUAAUACAUGCAAGUCGAGCGAACAGACGAGGAGCUUGCUCCUCUGACGUUAGCGGCGGACGGGUGAGUAACACGUGGAUAACCUACCUAUAAGACUGGGAUAACUUCGGGAAACCGGAGCUAAUACCGGAUAAUAUAUUGAACCGCAUGGUUCAAUAGUGAAAGACGGUUUUGCUGUCACUUAUAGAUGGAUCCGCGCCGCAUUAGCUAGUUGGUAAGGUAACGGCUUACCAAGGCAACGAUGCGUAGCCGACCUGAGAGGGUGAGCGGCCACACUGGAACUGAGACACGGUCCAGACUCCUACGGGAGGCAGCAGUAGGGAAUCGUCCGCAAUGGGCGAAAGCUUGACGGGGCAACGCCGCGUGAGUGAUGAAGGUCUUCGGAUCGUAAAACUCUGUUAUUAGGGAAGAACAAAUGUGUAAGUAACUAUGCACGUCGUGACGGUACCGAAUCAGAAAGCCACGGCUAACUACGU
This 496-nucleotide ribosomal RNA is filed under the name uncultured bacterium. Its description in RNAcentral is "partial 16S ribosomal RNA". It matches the Rfam family "Bacterial small subunit ribosomal RNA", at positions 28 to 506 of the family's 1533-position model. The record is from RNAcentral.